UGGGGAAUAUUGCACAAUGGGGGAAACCCUGAUGCAGCGACGCCGCGUGAGCGAAGAAGUAUUUCGGUAUGUAAAGCUCUAUCAGCAGGGAAGAAAAUGACGGUACCUGACUAAGAAGCCCCGGCUAACUACGUGCCAGCAGCCGCGGUAAUACGUAGGGGGCAAGCGUUAUCCGGAUUUACUGGGUGUAAAGGGAGCGUAGACGGCGAGGCAAGUCUGAUGUGAAAACCCGGGGCUCAACCCCGUGACUGCAUUGGAAACUGUUUUGCUUGAGUGCCGGAGAGGUAAGCGGAAUUCCUAGUGCAGCGGUGAAAUGCGUAGAUAUUAGGAGGAACACCAGUGGCGAAGGCGGCUUACUGGACGGCAACUGACGUUGAGGCUCGAAAUCGUGGGCAGCAAACA
Molecule: ribosomal RNA, 402 nt
Filed under: uncultured bacterium
Lineage: Bacteria
Description: bacterial SSU rRNA
Rfam family: Bacterial small subunit ribosomal RNA
Source: RNAcentral